RNAcentral lists this ribosomal RNA (1484 nucleotides) under uncultured bacterium. RNAcentral's name for it is "partial 16S ribosomal RNA". It matches the Rfam family "Bacterial small subunit ribosomal RNA". The record is from RNAcentral.
AGAGUUUGAUCAUGGCUCAGGACGAACGCUGGCGGCGUGCCUAACACAUGCAAGUCGAGCGAAGAACUUCGGUUCUUAGCGGCGGACGGGUGAGUAACACGUGGGUAACCUGCCUCAAAGAGGGGGAUAGCCUCCCGAAAGGGAGAUUAAUACCGCAUAAUAUUAGAUCUUCGCAUGGAGAUUUAAUUAAAGGAGCAAUCCGCUUUGAGAUGGACCCGCGGCGCAUUAGCUAGUUGGUGAGGUAACGGCUCACCAAGGCGACGAUGCGUAGCCGACCUGAGAGGGUGAUCGGCCACAUUGGAACUGAGACACGGUCCAGACUCCUACGGGAGGCAGCAGUGGGGAAUAUUGCACAAUGGGCGAAAGCCUGAUGCAGCAACGCCGCGUGAGUGAUGAAGGCCUUCGGGUUGUAAAACUCUGUCUUUGGGGACGAUAAUGACGGUACCCAAGGAGGAAGCCACGGCUAACUACGUGCCAGCAGCCGCGGUAAUACGUAGGUGGCAAGCGUUGUUCGGAAUUAUUGGGCGUAAAGGGCUUGUAGGCGGACAGGUUAGUCUGGCGUGAAAUCUCCACCGCUCACCGGGGAGGGGCCGCUGGAAACUGCCUGUCUGGAGUUCGGUAGAGGGUCAUGGAAUUCCGCAUGUAGCGGUGGAAUGCGUAGAUAUGCGGAAGAACACCUGUGGCGAAGGCGGUGGCCUGGGCCGAAACUGACGCUGAGGAGCGAAAGCCAGGGGAGCAAACGGGAUUAGAUACCCCGGUAGUCCUGGCCGUAAACGUUGGAUACUAGGUGUGGGAGGUAUCGACCCCUCCUGUGCCGCAGCUAACGCAUUAAGUAUCCCGCCUGGGGAGUACGGCCGCAAGGUGAAACUCAAAGGAAUUGACGGGGGCCCGCACAAGCGGUGGAGCAUGUUGUUCAAUUCGACGCAACGCGGAAGAACCUUACCCAGGCUUGAAACUGCUGAGGCCCGAUCUUGGAAACAGGAUUUCUUCCCGUAAGGGAAGCUUCAGUAGAGGUGCUGCAUGGCUGUCGUCAGCUCGUGUCGUGAGAUGUUGGGUUAAGUCCCGCAACGAGCGCAACCCUUGUCGUUAGUUACCAUCGGGUAAAGCCGGGCACUCUAACGAGACUGCCGGUGACAAACCGGAGGAAGGUGGGGAUGACGUCAAGUCCUCAUGGCCCUUAUAGGUGGGGCUACACACGUCAUACAAUGGCUGGUACAAAGGGUUGCCAACCCGCGAGGGGGAGCCAAUCCCCAUAAAAGCCAGUCGUAGUCCGGAUCGCAGUCUGCAACUCGACUGCGUGAAGUCGGAAUCGCUAGUAAUCGUGGAUCAGCAUGUCACGGUGAAUACGUUCCCGGGUCUUGUACACACCGCCCGUCACACCAUGGGAGCGGGUCUCGCCAGAAGUAGUUAGCCUAACCGCAAGGAGGGCGAUUACCACGGCGGGGUUCGUGACUGGGGUGAAGUCGUAACAAGGUAACCGUUUU